UUAAAAACUAUUGCAAGUUAUUUAAUUAAUGCUAAGUGCUGUGAGUGAUGUGAGAGGAAGAAGAGAAGAGACAAUCCAAUGCAAACACAGAGUUUUAUAGUGGUUCGGAGCUACCCCUUGCUCCUACGUCCACUCCCCAAGUCUCUCUUGGGAAUUCACUAUAACCCCCUUGGAUUACAGCCGGUUGUUUUGCAAGUUCACAACCAAACUUGUUGUUUUACAAGCUCACAACGAACUCGGUCGGUUUUCCCAGGCUCACCGACUAGAACCAACCCCGAUUGUUUUCCCGGGCUCACAAUCAAACCCUUACACACGUUGGUUUUAACUUGGCUCACCAACCAACCUUAAUCCCCUUGAUUCAAUCCCCCGAUUGAACCAAGUAAAUACAAGUUGUAGAAAGAAAAUAGAAAAUGAGCUUCUCAAAAGCAGAUUUAAAACAAUAUAAUCAAAGAGGAGUUUAGAAGCCCUCAAACGCUUUUAAGCUGGAGAAGAGGUAAGGCUUCUUGAACUCCGGUCUCCUCUUGAAUGUGUAGUCGACUUGAAUG
Molecule: long non-coding RNA, 545 nt
Filed under: Phoenix dactylifera (date palm)
Lineage: Eukaryota; Viridiplantae; Streptophyta; Magnoliopsida; Arecales; Arecaceae
Description: long non-coding RNA (PDAC_LNC017122)
Source: RNAcentral